Molecule: ribosomal RNA, 395 nt
Filed under: uncultured bacterium
Lineage: Bacteria
Description: partial 16S ribosomal RNA
Rfam family: Bacterial small subunit ribosomal RNA
Source: RNAcentral
AUACGUAGGGUGCAAGCGUUAAUCGGAAUUACUGGGCGUAAAGCGUGCGCAGGCGGUUUUGUAAGACAGAGGUGAAAUCCCCGGGCUCAACCUGGGAACUGCCUUUGUGACUGCAAGGCUAGAGUACGGCAGAGGGGGAUUGAAUUCCGCGUGUAGCAGUGAAAUGCGUAGAUAUGCGGAGGAACACCGAUGGCGAAGGAAAUCCCCUGGGCCUGUACUGACGCUCAUGCACGAAAGCGUGGGGAGCAAACAGGAUUAGAUGCCCUGGUAGUCCACGCCCCAAACGAUGUCAACUGGUUGUUGGGUCUUCAUUGACUCAGUAACGAAGCUAACGCGUGAAGUUGACCGCCUGGGGAGUACGGCCGCAAGGUUGAAACUCAAAUGAAUUGGCGGGG